AAUAACCAAAGAUCACCGCUGGAUUAAGGGUAGGGUUAGUGAUUAUGCGUACAUCUCCGCCACCGGGAGCCCAGGUAUCAUAGACUCCACCAAAGAACAUGGCUUUUAGUACCAACAACAGGGCUCCACAUCCGAGGAUGAUCAGGUGGAAACCAAUGAUGUUGGUCAUUUUAUUCUUGUCUUUCCA
This 187-nucleotide antisense RNA is filed under the name Cylindrospermopsis raciborskii CENA303. Its description in RNAcentral is "Antisense RNA which regulates isiA expression". It matches the Rfam family "Antisense RNA which regulates isiA expression". The record is from Rfam by way of RNAcentral. Lineage: Bacteria; Bacillati; Cyanobacteriota; Cyanophyceae; Nostocales; Aphanizomenonaceae.